RNAcentral lists this ribosomal RNA (207 nucleotides) under uncultured bacterium. RNAcentral describes it as "partial 16S ribosomal RNA". It matches the Rfam family "Bacterial small subunit ribosomal RNA", at positions 326 to 535 of the family's 1533-position model. The record is from RNAcentral.
ACGCUCGACACCUAGGGAGCAGCAGUGGGGAAUAUUGGGCAAUGGGCGAAAGCCUGACCCAGCAACGCCGCGUGAAGGAAGAAGGCUUUCGGGUUGUAAACUUCUUUUAUCAGGGACGAAGGAUGUGACGGUACCUGAUGAAUAAGCCACGGCUAACUACGUGCCAGUAGCCGCCGGUAAGUACUGAGCGGGCCGUGGCGAAGGACG